GACGAACGCUGGCGGCGUGCUUAACACAUGCAAGUCGAACGAAGAGCGAUGGAAGCUUGCUUCUAUCAAUCUUAGUGGCGAACGGGUGAGUAACGCGUAAUCAACCUGCCCUUCAGAGGGGGACAACAGUUGGAAACGACUGCUAAUACCGCAUACGAUCUAACCUCGGCAUCGAGGAUAGAUGAAAGGUGGCCUCUACAUGUAAGCUAUCACUGAAGGAGGGGAUUGCGUCUGAUUAGCUAGUUGGAGGGGUAACGGCCCACCAAGGCGAUGAUCAGUAGCCGGUCUGAGAGGAUGAACGGCCACAUUGGGACUGAGACACGGCCCAGACUCCUACGGGAGGCAGCAGUGGGGAAUCUUCCGCAAUGGACGAAAGUCUGACGGAGCAACGCCGCGUGAGUGAUGACGGCCUUCGGGUUGUAAAGCUCUGUUAAUCGGGACGAAAGGCCUUCUUGCGAAUAGUUAGAAGGAUUGACGGUACCGGAAUA
RNAcentral lists this ribosomal RNA (488 nucleotides) under Veillonella parvula. RNAcentral's name for it is "bacterial SSU rRNA". It matches the Rfam family "Bacterial small subunit ribosomal RNA", at positions 28 to 485 of the family's 1533-position model. Lineage: Bacteria; Bacillati; Bacillota; Negativicutes; Veillonellales; Veillonellaceae. The record is from RNAcentral.